AGAGCCAAGAAUGACUUGCCGACAAUUGCCUGAUAGCAAAACUAUGCUGCCGGGAAGUCAUUCUGGCUCU
Molecule: non-coding RNA, 70 nt
Organism: Jatropha curcas
Lineage: Eukaryota; Viridiplantae; Streptophyta; Magnoliopsida; Malpighiales; Euphorbiaceae
Source: Rfam